AGAGUUUGAUCAUGGCUCAGGAUGAACGCUGGCGGCGUGCCUAACACAUGCAAGUCGAGCGAACCCUUCGGGGUGAGCGGCGGACGGGUGAGUAACGCGUGGGUAACCUGCCCUGUACACACGGAUAACAUACCGAAAGGUAUGCUAACACGAGAUAAUAUGUAAUGAUCGCAUGGUCGAUACAUCAAAGCUCCGGCGGUACAGGAUGGACCCGCGUCUGAUUAGCUAGUUGGUGAGGUAAUGGCUCACC
Molecule: ribosomal RNA, 250 nt
Filed under: uncultured bacterium
Lineage: Bacteria
Description: partial 16S ribosomal RNA
Rfam family: Bacterial small subunit ribosomal RNA
Source: RNAcentral